AGCAGCCGCGGUAAUUCCAGCUCCAAUAGCGUAUAUUAAAGUUGUUGCAGUUAAAAAGCUCGUAGUUGAAUUUCGGGAUCAAUACGUCGGUCGUGCUUAGGUACGUACUGGCGUAAUUGAUUUCUCCCUUCUGACGAACCAUGAUGUCAUUAACUUGGUGUCAUGGGAAAUCAGGACUGUUACUUUGAAAAAAUUAGAGUGUUUAAAGCAGGCUCACGCUUGAAUACAUUAGCAUGGAAUAAUGAAAUAGGACGUUCGAUCCUAUUUUGUUGGUUUUUAAGAUCAACGUAAUGAUUAAUAGGGAUAGUUGGGGGCAUUAGUAUUCAAUUGUCAGAGGUGAAAUUCUUGGAUUUAUUGAAGACUAACUACUGCGAAAGCAUUUGCCAAGGAUGUUUUCAUUAAUCAAGAACGAAAGUUAGGGAUCGAAGACGAUCAGAUACCGUCGUAGUCUUAACCAUAAACUAUAGCCGACUAGGGAUCGGGUGAUUGGUUAAUUUUUUAAUGUACUUCAGUUCGGCGC
Molecule: ribosomal RNA, 520 nt
Filed under: uncultured Glomus
Lineage: Eukaryota; Fungi; Glomeromycota; Glomeromycetes; Glomerales; Glomeraceae
Description: SSU rRNA
Rfam family: Eukaryotic small subunit ribosomal RNA
Source: RNAcentral